Molecule: long non-coding RNA, 932 nt
Organism: Fundulus heteroclitus (mummichog)
Lineage: Eukaryota; Metazoa; Chordata; Actinopteri; Cyprinodontiformes; Fundulidae
Exons: 4
Source: RefSeq, a predicted model, not a curated record
UAAAAGUAUCAGAGUAAGUCAGAAGUAUUUUUGCAUUAUUGUUAAUGCAUUUUAUUUUGAAGGUCUAUGGGAAGUGAUGUGCAUGUGUACUACUGUCACUCGUUUUACUCCUGUUUGGACUUGACUGUGUGUGGCCGGAAGUGAAGGAGGGCUCAGUUGUUUUUCUUGUUUUGGUGCGCGCGAGUGAGAGGACGAAGGGAAGCGCGUGGGAUUUAUGUGGUGGUUAUAGUAGUUUCUGGACUGUUAAUCCAAUAGUCGCUGAUGGAGACCUACUUCUCCACGUUUUUGAAGAACUCGUGGAUGUUUUCAGACCGAGGACAACCCUGGAAUAUAGCCGACCGAGCUCCGUUUUAGCAUUCGCUAGCCCGGUGAAUGCUCCGCGUGUGUGACUGGUGAAGUCAACCCGACGAAAGAAAACUAUUUAUGUUCCCGGUUUGUGGCAUGAACAUUUUCGGUAAGGGAGCAAAUAGGUUUGAAGAGUGACCUAAGUGGAUUUGUGUUUCCCGGAGUCGGAGAGGAGCGGAGGGCAGAGCGGAUACGUGUUGAUAUCAGGAAGCCCGUGAGUGUGAUCCACGCCGUCUUGGACAUCCCAGGGCUGGUCGACCUUCGCGAGUGUGUGAAAGAUCAAAAGUAAAGCUAGGAGGAUGUUACAGGACCACCUGGAAUACAGCAGACCCCGGUCCUCGUCAUUUCAGCUGAGCCUUUAUCUUUUUCAAGCCACCUUUUAUGCAGCUACAGUCAGCCUCAAGACCUGGGGAGUGCAAGGUUCGUUCUGCUCCAAGACAAAGGAACAGCUCAUCCAGACCAAUAAAAAGAAGGAAAAAGCUUCAAAGCAGAUUUUGAGGGAGAACCGGACGCCCUCCAUGCCACUCACCUGUGGCGAAGGCUUCACUCUUAACCCAGUUCACCCUCGAGGCAGACAGGAUAGAAAA